CGGGGGGAGCAAGCGUUGUUCGGAUUUACUGGGCGUAAAGGGCGCGUAGGCGGCGCAACAAGUCACUUGUGAAAUCUCCGGGCUUAACCCGGAGCGGCCAAGUGAUACUGUCGUGCUAGAGUGCGGAAGGGGCUACUGGAAUUCUCGGUGUAGCGGUGAAAUGCGUAGAUAUCGAGAGGAACACCUGCGGCGAAGGCGGGUAGCUGGCCGACACUGACGCUGAGGCGCGAAAGCUAGGGGAGCGAACGGGAUUAGAUACCCCGGUAGUCCUAGCCUUAAACGAUGGAUGCUUGGUGUCCGGGGUUACAAAGUCCCCGGGUGCCGUCGCUAACGCAUUAAGCAUCCCGCCUGGGGAGUACGGUCGCAAGACUG
This 372-nucleotide ribosomal RNA is filed under the name uncultured organism. RNAcentral describes it as "bacterial SSU rRNA". It matches the Rfam family "Bacterial small subunit ribosomal RNA", at positions 526 to 896 of the family's 1533-position model. The record is from RNAcentral.